CAUGAGUUAUGUCAUGUUAUCGACAUGUGAAUUCAUAGCAUGUCAGAAGGCAGACCCGGAGAACUGAAACAUCUUAGUACCCGGAGGAAGAGAAAGAAAAAUCGAUUCCCUGAGUAGCGGCGAGCGAAACGGGAAGAGCCCAAACCAACAAGCUUGCUUGUUGGGGUUGUAGGACACUCUAUACGGAGUUACAAAAGAACAUGUUAGACGAAUCAUCUGGAAAGAUGAAUCAAAGAAGGUAAUAAUCCUGUAGUCGAAAACAUAUUCUCUCUUGAGUGGAUCCUGAGUACGACGGAGCACGUGAAAUUCCGUCGGAAUCUGGGAGGACCAUCUCCUAAGGCUAAAUACUCUCUAGUGACCGAUAGUGAACCAGUACCGUGAGGGAAAGGUGAAAAGUACCCCGGAAGGGGAGUGAAAGAGAACUUGAAACCGUGUGCUUACAAGUAGUCAGAGCCCGUUAAUGGGUGAUGGCGUGCCUUUUGUAGAAUGAACCGGCGAGUUACGAUCUGAUGCAAGGUUAAGCAGCAAAUGUGGAGCCGCAGCGAAAGCGAGUCUGAAUAGGGCGUUGAGUAUUUGGUCGUAGACCCGAAACCAGGUGAUCUACCCUUGGUCAGGUUGAAGUUCAGGUAACACUGAAUGGAGGACCGAACCGACUUACGUUGAAAAGUGAGCGGAUGAACUGAGGGUAGCGGAGAAAUUCCAAUCGAACUUGGAGAUAGCUGGUUCUCUCCGAAAUAGCUUUAGGGCUAGCCUCAAGUGAUGAUUAUUGGAGGUAGAGCACUGUUUGGACGAGGGGCCCCUCUCGGGUUACCGAAUUCAGACAAACUCCGAAUGCCAAUUAAUUUAACUUGGGAGUCAGAACAUGGGUGAUAAGGUCCGUGUUCGAAAGGGAAACAGCCCAGA
This 903-nucleotide ribosomal RNA is filed under the name Staphylococcus epidermidis. Its description in RNAcentral is "bacterial LSU rRNA". It matches the Rfam family "Bacterial large subunit ribosomal RNA", at positions 132 to 1031 of the family's 2925-position model. The record is from RNAcentral. Lineage: Bacteria; Bacillati; Bacillota; Bacilli; Caryophanales; Staphylococcaceae.